GAACGAACGCUGGCGGCGUGCCUAACACAUGCAAGUCGAACGGAGUUAGGAGUAUUUAUACUACUAAUUUAGUGGCGAACGGGUGAGUAACGCGUGAGCAACCUAACCUUCAGCGGGGGAUAACACUUGGAAACAAGUGCUAAUACCGCAUAAGACCACACUUUCGCAUGGAAGAGAGGUCAAAGGAGCAAUUCACUGAAGGAGGGGCUCGCGUCCCAUUAGAUAGUUGGUGAGGUAACGGCCCACCAAGUCAGCGAUGGGUAGCCGAGCUGAGAGGCUGAACGGCCACACUGGAACUGAGACACGGUCCAGACUCCUACGGGAGGCAGCAGUGGGGAAUAUUGGGCAAUGGGCGAAAGCCUGACCCAGCAACGCCGCGUGAGGGAAGAAGGCUUUCGGGUUGUAAACCUCUGUCGCAGGGGACGAAAAAAAUGACGGUACCCUGUGAGGAAGCCCCGGCUAACUACG
RNAcentral lists this ribosomal RNA (468 nucleotides) under uncultured Christensenellaceae bacterium. RNAcentral describes it as "bacterial SSU rRNA". It matches the Rfam family "Bacterial small subunit ribosomal RNA", at positions 27 to 505 of the family's 1533-position model. Lineage: Bacteria; Bacillati; Bacillota; Clostridia; Christensenellales; Christensenellaceae. The record is from RNAcentral.